CCCGGUUGCCAGACUUGGCCCAAACCAGCGGCGCCCCCCAGGACCCCAGGCCCCGGGAUCCUUUCUCAGGAGGGGACGAGGCAGCCCCUCAACACCCCUCUCCUGGGAGCGCCCAGACCAGGAUGGAUGAAAUGAAGGACUGUCUGAAUACUUGAUGGAAGAGAGCUCCACCUCUCCCUCCUCCACCUCUCCUUGGGCCCAUGAAGACAGGACACCCUAAAGCGUCCAAAAUUCAGAAUCAGGAGUCCCCCAAACUCCUAAUACAGGCCAUCACUAGUCCCAGAUUUUGGGCCAGAUGAGUCCUGGGGCCUUGGGGGUGAACCUGGUGGUGGAGGAAACAGAAAACAAAGUCAAGCACGUGAUAAAGCAGGUGGAAUGUAUUGAUGAGCAUCAGGCCAACGAGGCUCUGGAGGAGAUGAGGCUUGAGGCUCUCCGCACGUGAUGGAGAGACGGGACCCACACCAGCCCAUCUGGCUCCA
Molecule: long non-coding RNA, 479 nt
Filed under: Ursus maritimus (polar bear)
Lineage: Eukaryota; Metazoa; Chordata; Mammalia; Carnivora; Ursidae
Description: lncRNA (ENSUMAG00000023156.1)
Source: RNAcentral